This 367-nucleotide unclassified non-coding RNA is filed under the name Basidiomycota sp. RNAcentral's name for it is "partial contains small subunit ribosomal RNA, internal transcribed spacer 1, and 5.8S ribosomal RNA". The stretch from base 1 to 47 matches the Rfam family "Eukaryotic small subunit ribosomal RNA", at positions 1785 to 1831 of the family's 1831-position model. The record is from RNAcentral. Lineage: Eukaryota; Fungi; Basidiomycota.
AAAGUCGUAACAAGGUUUCCGUAGGUGAACCUGCGGAAGGAUCAUUAUCAUAACGUUAUCCACGUAUAAACUAACAAACAGUGAACUGUCCGAUAAAGUAAUAAUGCGUUUUAAAGUUCGGGUUUGGAGGUGACUCAGUGAACCCUUUCAUAGUGUUAUUACUUUAUUAACUAUCAUCUCAUCUUAUUAACAAAUUGAACCGUUUAAUUAUUCUUUAUUGAGUAGUUAUUCAUUCUUUACCACUUUUAUUUGUACUGAAAUGAGUUAAAUCGUUUGAUGUCUUAACUGAUAUCGAACAUUCAACUAAUAUUUUACGAAAUAAAAUCAUAAAAAUGAACAACUCUUAGCAACGGAUAUCUUGGUUCUC